RNAcentral lists this ribosomal RNA (1389 nucleotides) under uncultured bacterium. RNAcentral describes it as "partial 16S small subunit ribosomal RNA". It matches the Rfam family "Bacterial small subunit ribosomal RNA", at positions 28 to 1381 of the family's 1533-position model. The record is from RNAcentral.
GACGAACGCUGGCGGCGUGCUUAACACAUGCAAGUCGAACGAAAAGACGGAAAGAGCUUGCUCUUUCCGGAAUUGAGUGGCAAACGGGUGAGUAACACGUAAACAACCUGCCUUCAGGAUGGGGACAACAGACGGAAACGACUGCUAAUACCGAAUAAGUUCCAAGAGCCGCAUGGCCCAUGGAAGAAAAGGUGGCCUCUACCUGUAAGCUAUCGCCUGAAGAGGGGUUUGCGUCUGAUUAGCUGGUUGGAGGGGUAACGGCCCACCAAGGCGACGAUCAGUAGCCGGUCUGAGAGGAUGAACGGCCACACUGGAACUGAGACACGGUCCAGACUCCUACGGGAGGCAGCAGUGGGGAAUCUUCCGCAAUGGGCGAAAGCCUGACGGAGCAACGCCGCGUGAGUGAUGACGGCCUUCGGGUUGUAAAACUCUGUGAUCCGGGACGAAAAGGCAGAGUGCGAAGAACAAACUGCAUUGACGGUACCGGAAAAGCAAGCCACGGCUAACUACGUGCCAGCAGCCGCGGUAAUACGUAGGGUGCAAGCGUUAUCCGGAAUUAUUGGGCGUAAAGGGCUCGUAGGCGGUUCGUCGCGUCCGGUGUGAAAGUCCAUCGCUUAACGGUGGAUCCGCGCCGGGUACGGGCGGGCUUGAGUGCGGUAGGGGAGACUGGAAUUCCCGGUGUAACGGUGGAAUGUGUAGAUAUCGGGAAGAACACCAGUGGCGAAGGCAGGUCUCCGGGCCGUCACUGACGCUGAGGAGCGAAAGCGUGGGGAGCGAACAGGAUUAGAUACCCUGGUAGUCCACGCCGUAAACGGUGGAUGCUGGAUGUGGGGACCAUUCCACGGUCUCCGUGUCGGAGCCAACGCGUUAAGCAUCCCGCCUGGGGAGUACGGCCGCAAGGCUAAAACUCAAAGAAAUUGACGGGGGCCCGCACAAGCGGCGGGGCAUGCGGAUUAAUUCGAUGCAACGCGAAGAACCUUACCUGGGCUUGACAUGUUCCCGACAGCCCCAGAGAUGGGGCCUCCCUUCGGGGCGGGUUCACAGGUGGUGCAUGGUCGUCGUCAGCUCGUGUCGUGAGAUGUUGGGUUAAGUCCCGCAACGAGCGCAACCCUCGCCCUGUGUUGCCAGCACGUCGUGGUGGGAACUCACGGGGGACCGCCGGGGUCAACUCGGAGGAAGGUGGGGAUGACGUCAGAUCAUCAUGCCCCUUACGUCCAGGGCUUCACGCAUGCUACAAUGGCCGGUACAACGGGAUGCGACACUGUGAGGUGGAGCGGAUCCCUUAAAACCGGUCUCAGUUCGGAUUGGAGUCUGCAACCCGACUCCAUGAAGGCGGAGUCGCUAGUAAUCGCGGAUCAGCAACGCCGCGGUGAAUGCGUUCCCGGGCCU